Xyrichtys novacula (pearly razorfish) is the source of this 5012-nucleotide non-coding RNA. The record is from the annotation of a GenBank genome assembly. NCBI's taxonomy places the organism in Eukaryota, Metazoa, Chordata, Actinopteri, Labriformes, Labridae.
CUCAGAGCCGGAGUGGCCUGUUCGUGGUAACUACAUCCCUGUCUUAACUUUGUUUCACAGCUCUGUCCAAAUGACAAAGGUCAUCGAAAAGCUGAGGGCUACAUCACAAUACCCCGAUAAGAAGUCUCUAAACGCCGUUUACCAUCUAUCAGUGCGGUGAGUGUUUCAAUAAGCUUCCUGGGUGUUUGAGCGUGUUGAUAACUGACAGAAACAGUCCGAAAAGCGUGUAACCCUGGCUCUGUAGGACAUACCUUUCAGUGACAGCGUAAUAAACCAUCAGCUCACAACCUCAAUCUUCUUCUUUAAAAGCUCCAGCCGUGAAAUUAUCAACAGUUUAGCGGCGUACAGUACACACAGAAAAUAUCCACCCCGUCAUGUAAUGCAGAAUGUGAGUGGACUACUCUCGUGAUUGACAGUUUGCUUCCACCAAUCAGGAGCGACGUUAUAUUCUAGUGUUUCUCGAUCAGUGUAACGUCCUGAUAUAUUAUGUCCAGGACACGUGUUGUGAAUUUAGGUCCAAAUAAUGUAUUUUCACCGUCAUAGUUACAGUAAGGGAGUGAAUAUGUAGAGUGAAGUCAGCAGAGGUGGGAAGCAACAUCACAUUUACUCAUGUUCCUGCGAUUGAGGGGCUAUUUUUUGUAGUUGUACUUACAUGUAAAGUUUUUAAGUGUUUCUGUUCUACAGAAGCAGCCUGUUCCCUCAGGAAAAAUACUGUUCCUCUGCUGCAUGCAUUCAUGUGUUCCUCUAACCCAAAAAGAAUAAAAAGGCUCAUACACAUGCACACACCCUCAUACACAUGCACACACCCUUUUUCUAAGUUUUCUUUUUCUAAGUCUCUUAGUUGUUUUAAAUCUUUGUCAUGGCCUUGCUCCUCCAUACAUUACAGAUCUGCUGUCAUUUAUGUUCCAGUGAGAUCUCUGAAGUCCCUUAUUUUUUUUUUUUUUUAAAUGUUCCUUAUCACACAAGCACCAGCCAGCUCUACAUUUAUGCACCUAAACUCUUUGAAACACGAGAUAAUGGUUUACUUGUUGCAAGGAACUUUUGAGAAAAUUUGGUUUUGAACGUCACGCAGUAACAUUUAUACUGGGACCUGUCAGGUCAAAACAGCCAAUGUAGACAAUGAAGACGUAAUCUAAUCGUCAAGGUGUAAAGGCAAUUGAUCAAAGCCCAGAUGUUCUUAGCAACUGCUUUGACUUGUGAUUGAUGCUGUGUGAAAUGUAACAAGUUUCAAUAUUUUCAACAGAAGUAAAACUGCUGAUUUUAAAACCUAUUCAAUAAAUGUAUAAGUACACAAAAUGGCAACUAAAAAGAAACAAACCUUACCAAGUGAAUUUCUCACAUUUGUACUCAAAGGAUCUUGUUAUGUAUGAUUUUUUUUUUUUUUCUUAACAUUCAUGCAAUGGACUAGAAUCCAUAGUGAAGCCUCAUUUGUGUUAUCCAAAAAAACAAGAUCAUCAGCAACAAGACUGGCGAUUGUUGUGCUGUGAUUUUAAAUGCCUGAAACCAGUGUGAGGGGGUAGGUGUCAGCCGAGCAGCUGAAAACAGUUACAUUUUUCACCAUAAAUAUUCACAAUGAAUCAAAAAUUUGAAUGUAAAAAGUGAGGAGGAUAAGAUUUUUCUCAGAUGGCACUCCUUAAGCAUGAAGCCUGCAUUACUCACAGGGGGCACUGAAACCCAUAGUUCCACAGAAGAGCUUUAUAAUAAGCUACACAGACACAACAGGCCAAAUAUACUGUGAAAUUAUGCAUAUAAAGUGCACUUUGUAAUCUAGACAGUUGGCUGCAUUCUGUAUACAAAAUUCUUAUGACCCCUACAUGUAGGUGUUGACAGUAAGUAUUCAGGUAAUUUUUACUUCUUUUUGAGUGAAUAAAAGAGUAGGAAUUUAACUCAAGUAGAAUAUAUCGGUACUCUUGCCACCCCUGAAGUUAGACUGGUUAACUCCAUCAGUUGUAAGAAUGUCAUGGUGCAUUUUUAAUCUCCCAAAGAAUGCCACAUUAGCCUGUCUAAGUGAACUCUGUUGUAACUUCACCUUCUUUUCUAGUGAGGGGGACCUGUCAGCUUACAAGUGUAGCUAUUGAAGUUUGAAAUGUGUUUUAUCAAAGUCUCUUCAAGCAGCCUGCGCUUGUAUUUAUGCUUUCAGUUAAACAGAGAUGAAUGUGUGAUGGUGACAUUGAUGAUAACCUGCAUGGCAUCAUCGCGGCAACAUUUAAACUGAGACAGAAUCUGCUAUUAGUUUUAAAAUUGGAAUUGGGAGGGAUUCAUUAAAAAGUAGUCAAAGACAACAUAUCAAGUUCUACAACUUAUUAUUAUUGUUUAUGUAUUUGUAUUAACCAUAAAUUUAUUUUAAGUUUGAUGCAAUAUGUUUCAAAAAGGUAGGACAGAGACAACAAAACUAGAAAUUCUGCCAAGAAUACUCGGAAGAAUAUUUCCUAUCUACUGAGGUUCAUUUAAAACAGGUAUAAAAAGGGAAUUCCAGAGAGGAUCUCAGCAAAGAUGGGCAGAGGUUCAACUCCCUGUGAGGGACUGCAUAAGAGAAUUCAGCAGUUUCAGAGUUUCAUCACAAAUAUCAUUUGUUUUAUCAUCACCUAUGGUUCAUAAUAUCAUUAAAAGUUUCAGAGUACUUAGAGAAAUAUUUAUAUAGAAUAGAAAUGGCCAAAAACCUUUCAGCUUCUAUGAUUUCCAAAAAGAAUGUAGUUUUUUAAUACUAGACCAUGGGAUAGUUUUCCUCUUUGUCCAUCAUGAAUGGUCCAGGCACAAAGAAGUCAUCAGCAUUUCAGGAUCAUGAUGUACACACGUGGACAAAAUUGUUGGUACCCCUCAGUUAAAGAAGGAAAAACCCACAAUUCUCACUGAAAUCACUUGAAACCUACAAAAGUAACAAUAAAUAAAAAUUUAUUGAAAAUUAAAUAAUCAAAAUCAGCCAUUACUUUUGAAUUGUUGAUUAACAUAAUUAUUUAAAAAAAAAAAAAAACUAAUGAAAUAGGGCUGGACAAAAAUGAUGGUACCCAUAACUUAAUAUUUUGUUGCACAACCUUUUGAGGCAAUCACUGCAAUUAAACGAUUUCUGUAUUUGUCAAUGAGCGUUCUGCAGCUGUCAACAGGUAUUUUGGCCCACUCCUCAUGAGCAAACUGCUCCAGUUGUCUCAGGUUUGAUGGGUGUCUUCUCCAAAUGGCAUGUUUCAGCUCCUUCCACAGAUAUUCAAUGGGAUUCAGAUCUGGGCUCAUGGAAGGCCACUUUAGAAUAGUCCAACGCUUUUCUCUCAGCCAUUCUUGGGUGUUUUUGGCUGUGUGUUUUGGAUCGUUGUCCUGUUGGAAGACCCAUGACCUGCGACUGAGACCAAGCUUUCUGACACUAGGCAGCACAUUUCUCUCCAGAAUGCCUUGAUAGUCGUCCGAUUUCAUUUUACCUUGCACACAUUCAAGACACCCUGUGCCAGAUGCAGCAAAGCAGCCCCAAAACAUUGCUGAGCCUCCUCCAUGUUUCACCGUAGGGACAGUGUUCUUUUCUUCGUAUGCUUGGUUUUUGAGUCUAUGAACAUAGAGUUGAUGUGCCUUACCAAAAAGCUCCAGUUUGGUCUCAUCUGUUCAAAGGACAUUCUCCCAGAAGCUUUGUGGCUUGUCAACAUGCAUUUUUGCAAAUUCCAGUCUCGCUUUUUUAUGAUUUUUUUUCAGCAGUGGUGUCCUCCUUGGUCGUCUCCCAUGAAGUCCACUUUGGCUCAAACAACGACGAAUGGUGCGAUCUGACACUGAUGUACCUUGGCCUUGGAGUUCACCUUUAAUUUCUUUGGAGGUUGUCCUGGGCUCUUUGGAUACAAUUCGAACGAUCUGUCUCUUCAAUCUGUCAUCAAUUUUCCUCUUGCGGCCACGUCCAGGGAGGUUGGCUACUGUCCCGUGGGUCUUGAACUUCUGAAUAAUAUGAGCCACUGUUGUCACAGGAACUUCAAGCUGUUUAGAGAUGGUCUUAUAGCCUGCACCUUUAAGAUGUUUGUCUAUAAUUUUUUUUCGGAUGUCCUGGGACAAUUCUCUCCUUCGCUUUCUGUCGUCCAUGUUCAGUGUGGUACACACCUUUUCACCAAACAGCAGAGUGACUACUUGUCUCCCUUUAAAUAGGCAGACUGACUGAUUAUGAGUUUGGAAACACCUGUGAUGUCAAUUAAAGGACACACCUGAGUUAAUCAUGUCACUCUGGUCAAAUAGUUUUCAAUCUUUUAUAGAGGUACCAUCAUUUUUGUCCAGCCCUAUUUCAUUAGUUUGUUUUUUUUAAAUAAUUAUGUUAAUCAACAUUUCAAACGUAAUGGCUGAUUUUGAUUACUUAAUUUUCAAUAAAUUUUUAUUUAUUGUUACUUUUGUAGGUUUCAAGUGAUUUCAGUGAGAAUUGUGGGUUUUUCCUUCUUUAACUGAGGGGUACCAACAAUUUUGUCCACGUGUGUAUAUGGUUUCUUUCUUGCAUUGUAAAUGCAGCAAUAAACCAUGUCCACUGACGUGGUUUUUGGAGGUGACUGUGAACUCAUGCAGUAAUUUCCACUAUAGAGUCAUGUCUGAUUUUAAUGCAGUGCUGCCUGGUUUUCACAGAUUUCUGAAGGUUCUCUGAAUUUAUUUGUGAUAAUCCUGUUUUUGUUUAGCUGUUGGUUUCAGGUGUAUGCUCCCUUUUCUUCCUCUCCUUUCUGUUCUCCACCUCCUGUAGGGCACACAUGUGUGGCAGGAGCUGUGGCAGUGGACGGGGCACACCUGUUUCCACUCAAGCCCACCAACCUGACUAUGAAGACUGGUCUUCACUCCUCUGCUGGGUUAUUCUGUCUUGGUCAGUUGUGAUCUAUGUGCUUGGAAUCCUUAAGCUGCUGGUUUUUGUAGUAUAACUUGUGAAAUAUUGAACCGACCACUGUUUUCCUCUGUCCACUCUUCCUCAGUGCCCAAUAUUUUCCAGUUUUUCCUCUCUGGAGAUUUCUCUAAGCCAGCCAGCUUCCUGCCUCCAUGGCUUGCGCUUUGUUUUCCAAUAAAUCUUUCUUUUGCAC